This 88-nucleotide ribosomal RNA is filed under the name Microcebus murinus (gray mouse lemur). Lineage: Eukaryota; Metazoa; Chordata; Mammalia; Primates; Cheirogaleidae. The record is from RNAcentral.
AUCAACAGUCUUUAAAAAGAAAAACUAGGGUCGGGCCUGGUUAGUACUUGGAUGGGAGACCGCCUGGGAAUACCAGGUGCUGUAGGCU